This 507-nucleotide ribosomal RNA is filed under the name uncultured bacterium. RNAcentral describes it as "bacterial SSU rRNA". It matches the Rfam family "Bacterial small subunit ribosomal RNA", at positions 19 to 518 of the family's 1533-position model. The record is from RNAcentral.
CUGGCUCAGAUUGAACGCUGGCGGCAGGCUUAACACAUGCAAGUCGAGCGGGGAAGAGUAGUUUGCUACUUACCUAGCGGCGGACGGGUGAGUAAUGCUUAGGAAUCUGCCUAUUAGUGGGGGGACAACAUCUCGAAAGGGAUGCUAAUACCGCAUACGUCCUACGGGAGAAAGCAGGGGACCUUCGGGCCUUGCGCUAAUAGAUGAGCCUAAGUCGGAUUAGCUAGUUGGUGGGGUAAAGGCCUACCAAGGCGACGAUCUGUAGCGGGUCUGAGAGGAUGAUCCGCCACACUGGGACUGAGACACGGCCCAGACUCCUACGGGAGGCAGCAGUGGGGAAUAUUGGACAAUGGGGGGAACCCUGAUCCAGCCAUGCCGCGUGUGUGAAAAGAAGGCCUUUUGGUUGUAAAGCACUUUAAGCGAGGAGGAGGCUACCGAGAUUAAUACUCUUGGAUAGUGGACGUUACUCGCAGAAUAAGCACCGGCUAACUCUGUGCCAGCCGCCGC